This 589-nucleotide ribosomal RNA is filed under the name uncultured bacterium. Its description in RNAcentral is "bacterial SSU rRNA". It matches the Rfam family "Bacterial small subunit ribosomal RNA", at positions 334 to 917 of the family's 1533-position model. The record is from RNAcentral.
UACUCCUACGGGAGGCAGCAGUGGGGAAUAUUGCGCAAUGGGGGGAACCCUGACGCAGCCAUGCCGCGUGAAUGAAGAAGGCCUUCGGGUUGUAAAGUUCUUUCGGUAUUGAGGAGGGUUGAUGUGUUAAUAGCACAUCAAAUUGACGUUAAAUACAGAAGAAGCACCGGCUAACUCCGUGCCAGCAGCCGCGGUAAUACGGAGGGUGCGAGCGUUAAUCGGAAUAACUGGGCGUAAAGGGCACGCAGGCGGUUAUUUAAGUGAGGUGUGAAAGCCCUGGGCUUAACCUAGGAAUUGCAUUUCAGACUGGGUAACUAGAGUACUUUAGGGAGGGGUAGAAUUCCACGUGUAGCGGUGAAAUGCGUAGAGAUGUGGAGGAAUACCGAAGGCGAAGGCAGCCCCUUGGGAAUGUACUGACGCUCAUGUGCGAAAGCGUGGGGAGCAAACAGGAUUAGAUACCCUGGUAGUCCACGCUGUAAACGCUGUCGAUUUGGGGGUUGGGGUUUAACUCUGGCGCCCGUAGCUAACGUGAUAAAUCGACCGCCUGGGGAGUACGGCCGCAAGGUUAAAACUCAAAUGAAUUGACGGA